This 1191-nucleotide long non-coding RNA is filed under the name Bos indicus x Bos taurus (hybrid cattle). RNAcentral describes it as "lncRNA (ENSBIXG00005011620.1)". The record is from RNAcentral. Lineage: Eukaryota; Metazoa; Chordata; Mammalia; Artiodactyla; Bovidae.
AAUAUUUGCAAACCUUAAAGACAAGUAAUAGAGACUAGAAGAAAAUGAUUCAGUAAUCAGAUCACAGUGUUUUAGCUUCUCAGUGAAUGUUGCUGGACUAUGGGAAAUUUUAUAGUUUAGUUUUCUACAGGGCUACUUUCCAUGGGUGUAACUGAUUUGCAUAACUUUCCUAUGCAUGGUCAUUAGGUUUCUCUUUCCCAGCUUCCAUGUACAUUUUUUAAUAACUUAAUAAGCACUGACAUGCAGGAGAGAAUUCAUGCAUAUGUCUUUGGUGACACCCUCCGUGGGACUCUCACACCACACCUGACAGAAGAUAAUGUGGGCCCUGGUCAGAAGACUUGGUGAUUUACGCUUAGCCAGAGCGUCUUCUCCAUGCCUACCGUGGGUCUGGCACAUGGUGGGCCUUCCACACAUGUCUGUGGGCUGAUGGAUGGGGUUAACCAUCUGUGAACUGAGUGGACUGGAGCUGAUGAACUUCCUAUCAGGGGAAGAAGCCGGGCUUUCGCAUUUCUGUACCAGCCCUCGUUGGCCAAAGGCCCCCCCAGGGGCUAUGGCCCCCAGCACUUGGCAUUCUCGGCAGUGGCUCCAGCUGCUAGGCCCUGAAGAGAGUGGGGCACACUGACUGGUAAGAACACAGAAACCAGGGGAGAGGCCCAGAAAUGGCUACAGACAUCUGAGGACACCAACAGCAUCCAGCAUCUUCCCGCUCUGCAGCUGUAGAAAUGUGACCAUGUGUCCACAUUUGCACAUGCAAAAAGUCACAUUUGGAGAAUCCUGACGGGGCACCCUUGUCAUACAUUUGUCUUUAGUAAAUAUGGCUUUGCUCCCAGGAAAUACAUUUUUCCAGUGGUAAAUCUGGCUUUCAAUGACCAUGGUAUAUAUAAUUGCUGCAUUUAAGAAAUUCCAUGCAGUUGUUUCUAGGGAUAUUUGGACUUUUCUAUUCCGGUUCUACUAUGCUAUACUUGUAGAACUGGACUAGAAAAAUGCAGCUGACUACACGCUCGAUCCAAAUGUCCUCCCGAUUGGUUAUGGUAUUAACUUGGUUUAAUAUUGAUGUUUUGGACAUUAUUCACGGCAUGGUUAAAAAGCCAUAAAAAUGAAACUUGAAGCAUGUGUUCUGAACAAAUAUCUCCACAAUUAAAGAAAAACAAUUACUGAAAAUAAAAGAAACUAAAGAGGCCUAUCUCCUCA